This 74-nucleotide transfer RNA is filed under the name Halobellus salinus. Its description in RNAcentral is "Halobacteriaceae archaeon CSW2.24.4 tRNA". It matches the Rfam family "tRNA". From Rfam's summary of the family: Transfer RNA (tRNA) molecules are approximately 80 nucleotides in length. Their secondary structure includes four short double-helical elements and three loops (D, anti-codon, and T loops). Further hydrogen bonds mediate the characteristic L-shaped molecular structure. tRNAs have two regions of fundamental functional importance: the anti-codon, which is responsible for specific mRNA codon recognition, and the 3' end, to which the tRNAs corresponding amino acid is attached (by aminoacyl-tRNA synthetases). tRNAs cope with the degeneracy of the genetic code in two manners: having more than one tRNA (with a specific anti-codon) for a particular amino acid; and 'wobble' base-pairing, i.e. permitting non-standard base-pairing at the 3rd anti-codon position. The record is from Rfam by way of RNAcentral. Lineage: Archaea; Methanobacteriati; Methanobacteriota; Halobacteria; Halobacteriales; Haloferacaceae.
GCCGACGUGGUGUAACCCGGCGAGCAUACGACCCUGUCGCGGUCGUGAUCCGGGUUCGAAUCCCGGCGUCGGCG